Molecule: non-coding RNA, 101 nt
Organism: Roseovarius atlanticus
Lineage: Bacteria; Pseudomonadati; Pseudomonadota; Alphaproteobacteria; Rhodobacterales; Roseobacteraceae
Source: Rfam
GGGCACCCAAGGGGGCCUAUAACCAUGGUGGGUUUUCACCCACCCUACAUAGGUGGAGCUGGUCAUUCCGGUUUCGCCGUUUGCUAAACGGAAGACAGAAA